RNAcentral lists this long non-coding RNA (7064 nucleotides) under Nicotiana benthamiana. RNAcentral describes it as "long non-coding RNA (NBEN_LNC029979)". Lineage: Eukaryota; Viridiplantae; Streptophyta; Magnoliopsida; Solanales; Solanaceae. The record is from RNAcentral.
UCGCUGAUCAAGGAUCUUUAGGGAACCGUCAGAUUGCCUACCUACACCUGCGGACAUGAAACACAUGCCCCAUGAAAUAGGGAAUCAGUAUAAAAAAUGUACUGAAUAUGUAAGACAUGAAAAUCAGUACGUAAAAGACAUAGAUGAAACAUGGAAUAAAGAAAUCCAUCUGUAAAUCUAAAUAACUUUGAAAAUUCUGAAACAUUUAUAAUGUCAUGCAUGUGCAGAUAAAUGUCAAGCCAUUCAUAGAUAUGGAUGUACAUAAUAUCGUCAAGACAUUGAGAGAAUUCCAUCAUGUCAUUUCGGCCACUGUGGAUACUAUCGCCAAUAUAUACCAACUGAUCAGGUGGUGGUGCGUAUAUAACGCCGUAACUUUUUCCCAAACCCAUGUAUAUAAAUAUAUACAUAUAUGCGCUAAUAUAUCUCCAUUUGGUCAUGGGUCAAUUUAUAUGAAUAAAUUCAUGAAAUCUAUAAGAAAUACAUUAAUACGGUUUUCUAGAAAUGCCAUAAAAAUCAAUAUACAUUUCGGAUAAAUUUUAUCAAAUACGUAUUUUUCUGGAACCCAUGAACAGAAGGAAAUAAUAAUUUACAUGGAUAAUCAAGAAUAUAGACAUCCCUAAUAUUUCUAUGAAUAGAGUUAUUUAUAAGAGUUGCGUAUUUUUCUCAUUUUACUUUUACCGUAGGGAUCAUGCCAAAAGAAAGUGUCAUGCCCCGAGCAUGGGGGCAAGAGCGGCGCCCAGUACCUCACAUAUCCUUGCAUACCACUAGUAACUAAGAGACUCUGAACAUGCAAUGUCACAUUUUGACCAUGGGCCACAUUGUGAGAUAAUGUGCGAUGCAAAUUAUAAAACUAAAUAGAGACUAACGCUAACUAAACAUUAACAUAAAGAUGGGCCGGCAAGGCCGUCAUAAUUACUACAACUGACAAGCCAACAAAAUAUACGUCCACGACCUACAAUCCCAAUAUACUGCAGUAACUGAAAAGAUAUAUAUACAAUCCUCUACUGAUAGAUGUACUGUGAUCGGAACAGGGCCUCGACCUACCCUUAACCUAUCUACAUAUAUGCACAAGAUGUACUCCAAACUGCUAGAACCGAAAACUCCGAAAGACGGGGAGCUUACCGAUAAGACUGAACUUGGGCAUACUUCUACUGAAAAGGUCUACUCGUCCAUACGUUUGAACCUGUACGCAUGAAAUGCAGAGCCCCCAGAAAGGGAUUUCAGUACGAAAUAAUGUACCGUUUAUGUAAGGCAAUAUACUUAAGAUGAAACUGAAGUGAUAAUAUAAUAACUGAAAACAACUGAGAGUCAAAGAAAAUCUAAAGAUAUGCUCAUAUGCUGAUACUGACUCAAUUCUUUCAAUAUAGUUAGUAAAAUAGUUGUCCCGCCAGACUCGGUAUAUAUAUAUAUAUAGGUAUGGUNNNNNNNNNNNNNNNNNNNNNNNNNNNNNNNNNNNNNNNNUAUAUAUAUAUAUAUAUAUAUAUAUAUAUAUAUAUAUGCUCUUCCCUAGUAGGCUCGCUCAUAAGCGCUCGGCCAUACUGGGCUCUGUAUCUCGACCAAUAGGCUCACUCAUAAGUGAUCGGCCACAGUAGGCUCGGUAUAUAACUUACCAUCUGAUCAGAGUUUGCCCAAUAGGGGCUUGCCCGUCGAUUAUAGCUCGAUGGUAAUGAAAAUAAUUUAAUACUGUAUAUAUAAAGUCUCUGCUCUCUUGACUGGAAUAAGAAAAUACUUAAUUGAAUAUGAAGUCCCGGUAAGGAUAAUAUUGUAACUUAUAAAACUAGAAUGAUAUACGCAGUUUGCGAGACUAGCAAAAUAUACGUAAAUUCCAGGAUAUGAAUUUUUCUUUAUACCUCGUUAUAAACUUGUGUAAUGACGAAAUCAUGCCAAAAUGAAAAAAGAAUUUAGUCUUAACAAACCUGUUCCUGAAAUUAUUUGAACGAGUCUGCUUCUGCGAAAUAUGGACGAAACCUAAACUUGAAAUUUCGGAAAACUUACUCUACCUUUAACGUUUUUUUGAAUGGAAUUUUGGUUGAGGAAUGAAUUUGUGUGACAUGUUCUUGCUCUUUUACGUUUUGGUCACAUGUACAGAAUGUAAAUGUUGAUCUUGGUCUUCAAAUGAAAUGUGUAUCCCUUUUGAUUGAUAAAGCUCACAAUUAAGUCUUGAUAAGACUUUAACUCACCUUAUACUAAUGGGAGCUGCCACGUUACUCUUUGGGGCUGAUUUUGUUAAUUUAUCCAUUUAUUAGUUAACUGAAUAAUGUUUCGUUACUCAAUAACUAAUUUAUUUCCCACAUAAUUUUAAACUUAUUACAAAUUAUUUAAAAAUUUAUUAAUUCUCAAAAUACUUUAUAUAUUAUAGUACUGUGGUCAUAUGGUACCUUGAAUGGUUACUAAUUUAUUAUUAUCAGGUCUGUAUUUUAUCUCAAAUUGUCCAUUUGCAACGAAACUUGUUUCCUCUAAUUCAUGCAUCCUCUAUCCUUCGUGAGACUUAUUUAUUACUUGUUAUAUAUAGCGUAAAAACAUUAACGUCAAGAUGAUCUUACCCCCGAGUCUACAUCAAUUAACUGAAAACGAAAUUUUUAACGUACGAAAAACGCGAGUUGUAACAUCCUUCCCCCAUAAGAAACAUUCGUCCUCGAAUGUUCAACUCUCCGCGAUCCAAAUAACUUUCGCAAGGCCACCUUUAUAACAAAACUACUACAGCUCUCCCUAUAGUAGCUUAAUAAUCUAAUGCCAUACCGAACCACAAUUAUCAGUAACGAUAAUGACCUUACAUGACCACUAAAAAAUUAACACAAGAACCUAUACACGUACCUUUCAUUAUGACAUCUUAGUCGGACCCUUUUCUGGAGGAGGAAAUAAGUAGGGAUAUCUAAACUUCAUGCUUUCCUCGACCUCCCAAGUCAUCUCUUCUACAUUGUUUAUUUCUCCAAAGUACUUUCACGGAAGCUACCUCCUUAUUCCGCAGCUUGCAGAUUCGUAGGUCAAGGAUGGGCAAUCGAAACCUCCUCGUAUGAUAAGUUCUCUGUAAUCUGUAUAUUAUUUGUGGGAACCAUUCGGGUAGGAUCGUCAAUGCACUUUCGUAACAUAGAUACGUGAAAUAUCGGAUAGGCAGACUCUGAUCCAAGGUCAAUUCUAACUCAUAAGCUGCUUGAUCCACUUUCUAAAUGAUCCUAUACGGUCCAAUAUACCGUGGGCUAAGUUUGCCUUUCUUGCAGAACCUCAUCAUGUCUUGCAUAGGUGACGCCUUUAAGAAUACCCAGUCAUCAACUCUUAACUCUAAGUCUCGUCGUUGCACGUCAGAAUAUGACUUCUAACGACUCUGAGCUGUCAACAGUCGCUCCCGAAUAAUCUUUACUUUUUCUAUGUCCUGUUGAACUAGGUAUGGCACAUAUAACCCGGAUUCUCCAACAUCAAACCACUCUACAGGAGAUCUGCACAUGUGCCCGUAUAAAGCCUCGUGCGGAGCUAUCUGGAUACUGGAGUGGUAACUGUUAUUAUAUGCAAACUCGAUAAGAGGUUGGUGUUCAUCCCAACUUCUUUUAAAAUUCGGCACACAUGCUCGCAACAUAUCCUCGGGCGUCUGAAUCGUGCGCUCGACUUGUCCAUCCGUUUGUGGAUGAAAAGUCGUGAUGAGAUUCACCUGAGCUCCUAGACUUUUCUGAAAUGACCUCCAAAAAUGUGUUGUAUACUGAGCACCACGAUCAGAUAUAAUAGAUAUUGGCACUCCAUGUAGUCACACUAUUUCUUUAAUAUAUAACUUUGCAUAGUAAUCUAUUGUAUAUGUAGAUUUGACUAGUAGGAAAUGAGCUGAUUUCAUGAGCCUAUUGACUACCACCCAUAUGGAAUUAAACUUACGUUGAGAACUAGGUAAACCCGUGAUAAAGUACAUAUUUAUCGCCUCCCAUUUUCAUGUCGGGAUCUUUAUAGUCUGCAUUAGCCCUCCAGGCUUCUGGUGCUCUAUCUUCACAUGCUAGCAACUAAGGCAUUGAGCGACAUACUCAGCAAUGUUCUUCUUUGUAUCGUUCGACUAAUACACAUCCUUAAUGUCAUGAUACAUUUUUAUCGGCCCGGGGGGAAUGGAAUACCAUGAAUAAUGUUCCUCUGACAUAAUCUUGUCUCGUAGCCCUGCUAUAUCUGGAACACACAAACGAUCUCUGUAUCUGAGAACCCCAUCUCCUUUGAGUUCUCACAACGGCUACUUUUGUUGUGGAACCUACUCCCUCGACUUGACUAACUCUGGAUCCUCAUACUGCCUUUCCUUUACUUCAGCUAUGGGGGAUGAUUUUGUAGUAUUUUGGAGUACAAUCCCUCAAUUGCCAGAGUCUACUAACCAAACCCCCAAAUAAGCCAAUUGUUGAAUUUUUCUGGUUAAAGUCUUUUCUCACCUUCUACAUAUGCUAAGCUACCCAUAGAUCGACUACAUAAGCCAUCUGCUACAACAUUAGCUUUCCCUGGAUGGUAGAGAAUGCUAACAUCGUAAUCUUUCAAUAACUCAAGUCAUCGCCUUUGUAGCAAAUUCAACUCUUUUUGCUUGAAGAUAUAUUGCACGCUUUUACGAUCUGUGAACACAUCAACAUGAACACCAUAUAAAUAAUGUCGCCAUAUCUUAAGUGCAUGGACAACCACAGCUAAUUCGAGGUCGUGGCUCGGAUAAUUAUUCUCAUGCUUCUUUAACUUUCGUGAAGCAUAUGCAAUUACAUUCCCAUGUUGCAUCAGGACAUAUCCUAACCCGACACUUGAGGCAUCACAAUACAUGCAAUAACCAUCUGGACCUUCUGGAAGUGCUAGAACUAGCACUGAGGUCAACCUGUUCUUAAGCUCUUGGAAAAUCUGCUCACAUGCCUUUGUCCACUAAAACUUAGUCGUUUUCUGUGUCAGCUUAAUGGUGCUGAAAGAGAAUAAAAACCCUCUACGAACCUCCGGUAAUAUCCUGUUAAUCCUAGAAAGCUACGAAUCUCUAUCAGAGUGGCAGGUCUAGGCCAGGAUUUUACUACCUCAAUCUUCUGAGUGUCUACCUUUAUACCUCCGUCGAAUAUAAUAUGUCCCAAGAAUGCUACAGACCUUAACCAGAACUCAUACUUAGAAAACUUGGCAUACAAUUUAUUAUAACGGAGGGCUUGGAGUACAGCUCACAGGUGAUCCACAUGCUCAUCAUCUAAACGUUAAUAAAUCAGAAUAUCAUCAAUAAAGACUAUCACGAACAGAUCCAAAUACUGCCGGAAUAGGCUAUUCAUCAAGUCCAUAAAUAUGGCAGUGCAUUCGUCAACCCGAAGGUCAUAACAAGGAACUCAAAGUGGCCAUAUCGGGUCAUAAAGGCUCUCUUGGGAAUAUCUUUCUCCCAAACCGUGACCUGGUGGUACCCCUGUCACACCUCCUUUUUACACCUACCUAGAAGGAUAAUGUAUAUAGGAGUUUUUUCAUUUAAAGUAAUAUUAUUCGGAUCGAGAUUAUUUAUUUAGAGUCGUCACUUGGAAAAUGUUUGGCUUUUGGUGUCCCAAGUCACUGUUUAUCUUGAGUCCCGAACUGAGGAAAAUUUUUGACUUUCCAAUUGGAGUCUGCGAACUAGAAAUUCUAAGCAAGGAAUUCUGUUGAUACGAGGGAAGGUGUUAGGCACCCCCGAAUCCUGUGGUUCUAGCACGGUCGUUUAAAUUGUUGUAAAUGGCUAAAUAUCUGAUUUUAAUACAUGUUAUGACUUAUGUGCUUUUUAACUUUAAACUGCUUUUAUUAUUAUUUUUUAAAAAGAAUUGCAACUCGAACCAUGUCACAUAAAUGCACCCGCGGUUUUUAACACAUUUCGACUUCGUCGAGAUUUGAAUUUUGGUCACAUGAAUGUGCACCCGUAUUUAGGGAGGUAAAAUUGUUUAAUGACGAGCCUAAAGCAACUAUCGCAUUGUUAACUUUGCGACAUCCAUAAAAGUUUGCUAAAUGGCACGCCUCGAAUUCUAAGAGUUAAAAAUUAGUUAAGUGAGGACCAUGAGUUUUGGAAUUAUGUUUAGCAUGGCGUGCCUUAAAUUAUUUUAAAGGAUUGUACUCAACCAAAGCAAACUACAAAUAUUCAUGGAUUGGAGACCCAAACUUUCCUUUUCACUUCUUUUAGCAUCCUUGAGAUAAUUUGCCUAGCACAGGAAAUCAAGUACCGAGAAUCUAGAGACCAUUAUAAUCUUGUAUUUUGUCUUUUCCUUGUGUUAUCUUCAUUAUGAACAAGCGAACCAGCCAGAACCAAUCGAUUGAACCAAACUUUGAAAUUAGAAAAAACAUGUAUGUCAAAACCUGGCUUCAGUAGUCGACAAAUGACAAAUCACUAGCCAAGAAAUGCUAAAGCCAGAAUGAAGAUUGCUUUACCAUAUGGAGAACAAGAAGCAUAUUCUAAUUCACAUAAAGUAGAUUUCACUUCAACUCAUUUUACAGAUGUUUGAAUAUCUCAUUGUUGUUCUGCUUUAAUAUUAUUCAUCAUGAAAUUAAUAAGCAAAAGCACAACGAUCCAACAAUUAGCAUCUCAAACAACUCAAAUAUAUUUCAAAGUAGUAAAUCCCAUGGUUCAAAUAUACUCAUAACAAGAGCGCAGCCAUGCGUAAGAUCAACCAAGUUUAUAUUAAGUUUAAAAAUAUGAGUACAAUUCGCACAACUCAGGAUGGCUUCACAUGGAAAUUUUAUUUACAUUAUCCAAUUUCAAACAAAACAAAUGCGAUUGAAAUCAGAAUAUCAAACGGAUAAUAACAGUAUCCCAACCAAAGUUAAGAAUUAGAAAUUAACUAAGUAUCAUUUUUGACCCAUUUCAUUAUCUUCAGUAAUUUCCCAAAUUGAAACACCUCACACAACUCAAACAAAUCCGCAAACUCUCAUGAGAGAUUUAUCAAUUCCAUCACUCAAUAUCCAUUUAAUACAAAUAAAAUUCGGAACUUACCUACAUUGAAUAGAAGACAGCACUAGAAUGAGCCACAUGAAGGCAAGAAAACAGUGGCGACGAACCCAGCAAGAGAUUCUGACAAACACAGCAACGGAUUUACCAGCAGCGAACAGCGAUUUCUUCAGUUGAAAAACUUCCAAAGCCCCGGAAAUAC